This 501-nucleotide ribosomal RNA is filed under the name Anaxyrus boreas boreas x Anaxyrus boreas halophilus. RNAcentral's name for it is "partial 12S ribosomal RNA". It matches the Rfam family "Bacterial small subunit ribosomal RNA", at positions 794 to 1533 of the family's 1533-position model. The record is from RNAcentral. Lineage: Eukaryota; Metazoa; Chordata; Amphibia; Anura; Bufonidae.
GCCCAGCCGUAAACUUUUAAUUACAACUUAAAUCGCCAGGGAACUACGAGCCAAGCUUAAAACCCAAAGGACUUGACGGUACCCCACAUCCACCUAGAGGAGCCUGUCCUAUAAUCGAUAAUCCACGUUUAACCUCACCAUUUUUAGUUAAUCAGCCUGUAUACCUCCGUCGUCAGCUUACCACGUGAGCGCCAAUUAGUGAGCUUAAUGUUUUUCACCAAUACGUCAGGUCAAGGUGCAGCAAAUGAAAUGGGAAGAGAUGGGCUACACUUUCUAUAUUAGAAAAUACGAAAAACUAUUUAUGAAACCUAGUUAGAAGGCGGAUUUAGCAGUAAAAAGGAAUCAGCAUAUUCAUUUUAACCCGGCACUGGGGUGUGUACACACCGCCCGUCACCCUCUUCAAAGCCAUCAGCCUAGUUUUUAACAACUAAGGGCGUCACAGAAGAGGCAAGUCGUAACAUGGUAAGUAUACCGGAAGGUGUGCUUGGAAACGUAGUGUAG